Molecule: ribosomal RNA, 443 nt
Filed under: uncultured bacterium
Lineage: Bacteria
Description: partial 16S ribosomal RNA
Rfam family: Bacterial small subunit ribosomal RNA
Source: RNAcentral
CCUACGGGGUGCAGCAGUGGGGAAUAUUGGGCAAUGGGCGCAAGCCUGAUCCAGCAACGCCGCGUGAAGGAAGAAGGCUUUCGGGUUGUAAACUUCUAUUGUCAGGGACGAAGGAAGUGACGGUACCUGACGAAUAAGCCACGGCUAACUACGUGCCAGCAGCCGCGGUAAUACGUAGGUGGCAAGCGUUAUCCGGAUUUACUGGGUGUAAAGGGUGAGUAGGCGGGAAUGCAAGUCAGAUGUGAAAACUAUGGGCUCAACCCAUAGCUUGCAUUUGAAACUGUAUAUCUUGAGUGCUGGAGAGGCAAGCGGAAUUCCGAGUGUAGCGGUGAAAUGCGUAGAUAUACGGAGGAACACCAGUGGCGAAGGCGGAUUUCUGGACAGUAACUGACGCUGAGGCACGAAAGCGUGGGGAGCGAACAGGAUUAGAUACCCGAGUAGUC